ACUCCUACGGGAGGCAGCAGUGGGGAAUAUUGCUCAAUGGGCGCAAGCCUGAAGCAGCGACGCCGCGUGAGGGAUGAAGGCCUUCGGGUUGUAAACCUCUUUCAGCUCCGAAGAAGCGAAAGUGACGGUAGGAGCAAAAGAAGCACCGGCUAACUACGUGCCAGCAGCCGCGGUAAUACGUAGGGUGCAAGCGUUGUCCGGAUUUAUUGGGCGUAAAGAGCUCGUAGGCGGUCUGUCGCGUCUGCUGUGAAAACUCGGGGCUUAACCCCGGGCCUGCAGUGGGUACGGGCAGACUAGAGUGCGGUAGGGGAGACUGGAAUUCCUGGUGUAGCGGUGAAAUGCGCAGAUAUCAGGAGGAACACCGGUGGCGAAGGCGGGUCUCUGGGCCGUAACUGACGCUGAGGAGCGAAAGCAUGGGUAGCGAACAGGAUUAGAUACCCUGGUAGUCCAUGCCGUAAACGUUGGGCGCUAGGUGUGGGGCUCAUUCCACGAGUUCCGUGCCGCAGCAAACGCAUUAAGCGCCCCGCCUGGGGAGUACGGCCGCAAGGCUAAAACUCAAAGGAAUUGACGGGGCCCCGCACAAGCGGCGGAGCAUGCGGAUUAAUUCGAUGCAACGCGAAGAACCUUACCAAGGCUUGACAUGCAGGGAAAUCUCACAGAGAUGUGAGGUCCGCAAGGGUCCUGCGCAGGUGGUGCAUGGUUGUCGUCAGCUCGUGUCGUGAGAUGUUGGGUUAAGUCCCGCAACGAGCGCAACCCUCGUUCUAUGUUGCCAGCGGAUAAUGCCGGGGACUCAUAGGAGACUGCCGGGGUCAACUCGGAGGAAGGUGGGGAUGACGUCAAAUCAUCAUGCCCCUUAUGUCUUGGGCUUCACGCAUGCUACAAUGGCCAGUACAAAGGGCUGCGAGACCGUAAGGUGGAGCGAAUCCCAAAAAGCUGGUCUCAGUUCGGAUUGGGGUCUGCAACUCGACCCCAUGAAGUCGGAGUCGCUAGU
Molecule: ribosomal RNA, 991 nt
Filed under: uncultured bacterium
Lineage: Bacteria
Description: bacterial SSU rRNA
Rfam family: Bacterial small subunit ribosomal RNA
Source: RNAcentral